UUUCAUGUUUAUUGAAGUUGUUAAGUUGUUCGGCGCAACUUUUUCGCGCCGAGGGUGUUUUUAUUCAUUAACUUGAACGGUCUUUGUGUGUGAAUUAUUGAAAACGCGCGUUGGAGUAAAAACAAGUUAGGCAACCAUAUAUACACUAAUAUCCUAUUCAUUCUUUUUAUGUGAAUGAUUGAAAGCGUGUGGUGUAAGUUAGGCAACCAAAUACACACUAAAUUUUAUAGAGUGCACGCGUAUAAUGUGAUUAAAAGUCUAAUUGUUUUAAAAAUAAUGUUUUAUGCAUUUCAAUCAUAAUUAUCCUGGGUUUGGGCGGGCAAAGUCGAUUAUGGUUCAUUAGCAAAGUGAAACCGUUGCAGUGUUGAUGCACUGUAUUCAAUGUGUUAGUGUUAUUCAUUUUCUUUUCUCCUGUGUGAUGCGAUGAAAAUGGCUCGGCUUUUAAAACGAUUAAAAACUUGACGUAAUUCGUUUCGUUCCAGUACUCUUAGCGAAAAAUAUGCACUUUGAUGCAUUCGUUGCAAUUACAGCUCAUUUAGAAGUUUAAUGAUAAAAAGGCGUUUGUCAAAUAAACAAAUAAAGUGAUUCUGCAUAUUUAUCAACGGCUUUCAGGGGCGGCGCGUGGGUUGUGCAUGUUUUAGAGGGGCGCGAAUGCGAAUUUAAAAAUUUAGCGCCGAAAACGACGCGCCGCGUAUGAAUAUCAAAACUAGGCAUGAAGAACUGAGAAGGCGACGCAGACAUCUCGCCGCAUCUAUUAUUAACUGCAUGCUAAAAAUUUCAUAUCGCAAUAAGUACCCACUUUAGCCACGGUGCGUCCGUAAUUCUUCACACGCAUUUUAUGCACACUGUGUAAAAGUAUUGAUGUAAUUGAUAUUAACGCAAUUUAAUUAAAAUUUUUAAUAUUUAUUUUUUACUUUGAGGGUAAUAUCUGGCUGUCUUAAGGGUUGUGGCGUACACUAUUGGAAAGACAAACUAUUUCAUUAUAAAAUAGUGAUGGAAUAAGGCCAAAACUCCUGCUAGUUUGCGAGUUAUGGUUUGACAUUCAAUCGACUGACUCCUAUGAUGGAUCCACUCUCGAUGUAUGUGAAUAAUCCUUCAUGAUUUGAGACAGCUUCCUGAACCCUGAAAUAAUGAGGAGCAGGGGACGGGGACCUGGAUGGCGGAGGGUCCUUUCAAACCUGUCUACGAAUAUGUCCAGUUGAACAUGAAUUGUAUGAAGACGUGCCACAUCUCUGUGAAUAAAUGGCUAAUAGUCCACUCCACACUUGAUAAUUUUCAUUAGUUGUUGCUUAUUUAGAUUUGUAAAAUGUAGGCAUUGUUUCUUACGUAUAAGGAUAAUUAAUUGUUAUUACUUGAAGUGAUGAUUUAUUUGUUCGGUUGUUAAUAUAUUUGAUAUUAUGAAUGACAA
This is a long non-coding RNA of Dalotia coriaria, 1408 nucleotides long. RefSeq lists it as uncharacterized. The transcript has 2 exons. The record is from RefSeq and is a predicted model, not a curated record. Lineage: Eukaryota; Metazoa; Arthropoda; Insecta; Coleoptera; Staphylinidae.